AGCGAACGCUGGCGGCAGGCCUAACACAUGCAAGUCGAACGAACUCUUCGGAGUUAGUGGCGGACGGGUGAGUAACACGUGGGAACGUGCCUUUUGGUUCGGAAUAACUCAGGGAAACUUGUGCUAAUACCGAAUGUGCCCUUCGGGGGAAAGAUUUAUCGCCAUUAGAGCGGCCCGCGUCUGAUUAGCUAGUUGGUGAGGUAACGGCUCACCAAGGCGACGAUCAGUAGCUGGUCUGAGAGGAUGACCAGCCACACUGGGACUGAGACACGGCCCAGACUCCUACGGGAGGUAGCAGUGGGGAAUCUUGCGCAAUGGGCGAAAGCCUGACGCAGCCAUGCCGCGUGAAUGAUGAAGGUCUUAGGAUUGUAAAAUUCUUUCACCGGGGACGAUAAUGACGGUACCCGGAGAAGAAGCCCCGGCUAACUUCGUG
RNAcentral lists this ribosomal RNA (433 nucleotides) under uncultured bacterium. RNAcentral's name for it is "partial 16S ribosomal RNA". It matches the Rfam family "Bacterial small subunit ribosomal RNA", at positions 29 to 507 of the family's 1533-position model. The record is from RNAcentral.